AUGCAUGGUGUAAUCAAGCCCCGCUAUAUAUCUAUCUACAGUUUCAUGGGCUCACGUAGGUACGUGUAUCACAUACAUUUGCACAAUGCAUGUCAUGUAGGAGUAAUGGAGAAGCCGGUGUUGGUGCAGUUUCCAGCAAGGUCGGAGGAGGACGUGGACAAUAAUGAGGAUCUCUUACCGUGCCUGCCGGCAGCGAGCGGCGCGACGGGCUGGUGGCCUGCGAAGAGGGAGACAUGGCCGGCGAGCUUGUCUUUGCGGGAGAAAGUGGUGCCGCAGGAGCAUAUCCAGCGGUGGUCGCCGCAGUGCUUCUCGUGGGUGCGGAGGUCGGAGAGGACGGAGAAGUGCUUGCCGUUGCAGCGGUUGCAGACGUACAUCUUGGGGCAGUGGCUGCGCUUGUAG
RNAcentral lists this ribosomal RNA (399 nucleotides) under Triticum aestivum (bread wheat). RNAcentral describes it as "partial small subunit ribosomal RNA". The record is from RNAcentral. Lineage: Eukaryota; Viridiplantae; Streptophyta; Magnoliopsida; Poales; Poaceae.